CAUUAUACCAGGUAUACUCAAUUCCUGCCCUCACGUAUGUUUUCUUAUCUUUGGAAGAGGAUUGCUCUCCUUGGCCAUUUAUCUCACAGAAGCUUAUUUGUUUUUAAAAUUUCCAAAACAGUAUACAAAUUAAAACUUUUGACGUCUGCGUAUAGGAAUCCCGUUCUGCUUCCCGAAGUGGAAGUGCUCAUGGAUCGGGGAAAUCUGCACGGCACACACCUGCAAGGUCUCGCUCCAAGGAAGAUUCAAGACGUUCUAGAUCAAAGUCAAGAUCCAGAUCUGAAUCUAGGUCUAGAUCCAGAAGAAGUUCUAGAAGGCAUUAUACAAGGUCACGAUCACGAUCUCGCUCUCAUAGACGAUCCCGGAGCAGGUCUUACAGCCGAGAC
RNAcentral lists this long non-coding RNA (386 nucleotides) under Rattus norvegicus (Norway rat). RNAcentral's name for it is "long non-coding RNA NONRATT006707". The record is from RNAcentral. Lineage: Eukaryota; Metazoa; Chordata; Mammalia; Rodentia; Muridae.